Syzygium oleosum is the source of this 528-nucleotide long non-coding RNA. RefSeq lists it as uncharacterized. Lineage: Eukaryota; Viridiplantae; Streptophyta; Magnoliopsida; Myrtales; Myrtaceae. The record is from RefSeq and is a predicted model, not a curated record. The transcript is spliced from 2 exons.
AACGGUACAAAGCCCAUGAUUAUUGGAAUAAAUCAAGACCCUCAUGCCAGGCUCUUGAAGCCCAACAACUUAUUGUCUAUCCAAAGCCCUGAAGAGCCCACGAAGAACCCCUAAAUGGGUCUUCCCUGUAACCUCCCAACCCUAGCCCGUCUCUCCCGAUCUCACAUCAUAAAUUUUCCGGCGGCGACGAUUUCGGUUCCUACGACGCCGUCGGCGGCGCAAAUCCGGGGUCGUUUGUCUGCUCGAAUCCGCUGGAGGAUCUAUUCUAGCAUCUCCGCGUGAAGCCAAUGGCUCGGCAAACGACGAUGCGGCAGACAAGCUACGACGAGCCGAAGAGAGGCGGGAGGUAGAGGAGGCUUUAGAAACAGGUUACUGAUUGUUCUUCUUUCUUGUUUAAUAACAAAUUUGGUGGUUUAUAUGGCGGCAUCGUUACAUAUCUUGUGGUCAUGAAGUGCAAGAGCAAACCAAGCUUGUCUGUCUAGGUCUGGUGAAAUGUUACAUAGUCUGAUAUUCAAUGACUGUUAUCCA